ACUACAAAAAAGCGCGUAUUUACCGGCGAAAACUACCGGCGGCGAUUUUGCCGUCGGUAGAUAACGGCGGCAAGGCGGCGGCAUUGCAGGCGACCCGAAAUUUCGAAAUUACCGGCCAGUUACCGACGGCAAACUCGCCGCCGGUAUGUAACGGCGGCGUCGCCGCCGUUAAUGUUAAAAUACGCAUUAUUUAAUUAAAUUUAUAGACUUAGCGGCGGCAAAAUCCCCGCCGCUAGAUAGCGGCGGCAUUUGCCGUCGGUAACCUUUAAAAUAUAGGGCAGCGGGUUUGCCCAUUUUUUCAGUAUCUGCGCCGCAACCAACCCCCCCACGCGAACACAAACUACCCCCCCAGCCCCUCCCCUGCUGCUGCUGCCCUUCCUUCGCCGCCGCCUCCGCCGCCGCCGACCGCCGCCGCCGACCGCCGCCGACGC
Molecule: long non-coding RNA, 431 nt
Filed under: Salvia miltiorrhiza (redroot sage)
Lineage: Eukaryota; Viridiplantae; Streptophyta; Magnoliopsida; Lamiales; Lamiaceae
Description: long non-coding RNA (SMIL_LNC001748)
Source: RNAcentral